Molecule: non-coding RNA, 29 nt
Filed under: Homo sapiens (human)
Lineage: Eukaryota; Metazoa; Chordata; Mammalia; Primates; Hominidae
Source: RNAcentral
UCGAACUCACCGGGUCUCCACAGCACACU